CCUACGGGAGGCAGCAGUGGGGAAUAUUGCGCAAUGGGCGAAAGCCUGACGCAGCGACGCCGCGUGAGGGAUGAAGGUCUUCGGAUCGUAAACCUCUGUCAGCAGGGAAGAACGGUCACUGUGCUAAGCAGCAGUGAAUGGACGGUACCGGCAAAGGAAGCACCGGCUAACGCCGUGCCAGCAGCCGCGGUAAUACGGAGGGUGCGAGCGUUAAUCGGAAUUCCUGGGCGUCAAGCGCGCGUAGGCGGUAUGUCAAGUCAAGGGUGAAAUCCCCGCGCUCAACGGGGGAACGGCCUUUGAAACUGGCAACCUGGAGUGUGUGAGAGGCUAGUGGAAUUCCAGUUGUCGUCG
RNAcentral lists this ribosomal RNA (351 nucleotides) under uncultured bacterium. RNAcentral describes it as "partial 16S ribosomal RNA". It matches the Rfam family "Bacterial small subunit ribosomal RNA", at positions 338 to 681 of the family's 1533-position model. The record is from RNAcentral.